GCUGGGCAUGGUGGUGUGUGCCUAUAAUCCCAGCUACUGGGGAGGCUGAGGCAGGAGGAUCGCUCGAGUGCAGGAAGUCUGGGCCCCUCAGGUGUCCACACUAAGUUCGGCAUCUAUAUGGUGAUCUCCUGGGAGCGGGGGACCACCAGGUUGCCUAAAGAAGGGUGAACUGGCCCAGGUGGGAGACAGAGCAGGUCAGAGCUCUUGUGUUGAUCAGUAGCAGGAUUACGCCUGCAAAUAGCCACCGCACUCCAGCCUGGGCAACACAGUGAGAUCACAUCUCUU
Molecule: unclassified non-coding RNA, 285 nt
Organism: Pongo abelii (Sumatran orangutan)
Lineage: Eukaryota; Metazoa; Chordata; Mammalia; Primates; Hominidae
Rfam family: Metazoan signal recognition particle RNA
About the family: The signal recognition particle (SRP) is a universally conserved ribonucleoprotein. It is involved in the co-translational targeting of proteins to membranes. The eukaryotic SRP consists of a 300-nucleotide 7S RNA and six proteins: SRPs 72, 68, 54, 19, 14, and 9.
Source: Ensembl